Molecule: long non-coding RNA, 545 nt
Filed under: Pan troglodytes (chimpanzee)
Lineage: Eukaryota; Metazoa; Chordata; Mammalia; Primates; Hominidae
Description: long non-coding RNA NONPTRT006881
Source: RNAcentral
GCGGAAAACUUAGGAAGAGCUGGAUGCCUCCCACGGAGAGCGUCCCUUCCAAGCGGCCCCGGAGUGGAGUGGAGUGGAUAGGGGUAGACUUUUCACACGGGGACAAAUUAUUACAGGAUAUCUGCACCCCCCGUUCCGAGUCACUCGGGCGCAUCGGUUACUUCAGCAGGUUCUCUGCAUCACGGACCCUUUUGAGGCUCAGGCCCUGUCCUACCAUGAGCUGAAGAGGCAGCAACAUACGUGUUUGGAGUUUAGUAGGGACUGAGAAGCGGGGAAAAGAACUGCCUAACCAAAGGGAAUCUGUGUGAGAAGGCAUGCCUUCAUACUUCAGGCAGUUUACAAGACAGCCUUAGCUUUCGUUUUCUGCUUGCUACGAGCCUUAAGGUCAGCCAGAAGCGAGUGACUGGAAACUUCUUCAUUCCCAUCUCUCUCCUGGCACUCAUAGGCCUGGGGAAUGAGGUGAGCUGAGAGACUAUCCUGCCCAAACACAGGAGUAUUGACCAGAUGAACUUGAUCUUGGGCUAGCAUCUCACCAUUGUCACAAU